AUUGAACGCUGGCGGCAUGCCUUACACAUGCAAGUCGAACGGCAGCGGGCCUUCGGGUGCCGGCGAGUGGCGAACGGGUGAGUAAUGCAUCGGAACGUGCCAUUGAGUGGGGGAUAACGUAGCGAAAGUUGCGCUAAUACCGCAUAUUCUGUGAGCAGGAAAGCAGGGGACCGCAAGGCCUUGCGCUCUUUGAGCGGCCGAUGUCAGAUUAGCUAGUUGGUGAGGUAAAGGCUUACCAAGGCGACGAUCUGUAGCGGGUCUGAGAGGAUGAUCCGCCACACCUGGAACUGAGACACGGUCCAGACUCCUACGGGAGGCAGCAGU
RNAcentral lists this ribosomal RNA (324 nucleotides) under uncultured bacterium. RNAcentral describes it as "bacterial SSU rRNA". It matches the Rfam family "Bacterial small subunit ribosomal RNA", at positions 30 to 355 of the family's 1533-position model. The record is from RNAcentral.